AUUGAACGCUGGCGGCAGGCUUAACACAUGCAAGUCGAGCGGGGGAAGGUAGCUUGCUACCGGACCUAGCGGCGGACGGGUGAGUAAUGCUUAGGAAUCUGCCUAUUAGUGGGGGACAACAUCUCGAAAGGGAUGCUAAUACCGCAUACGUCCUACGGGAGAAAGCAGGGGAUCUUCGGACCUUGCGCUAAUAGAUGAGCCUAAGUGGGAUUAGCUAGUUGGUGGGGUAAAGGCCUACCAAGGCGACGAUCUGUAGCGGGUCUGAGAGGAUGAUCCGCCACACUGGGACUGAGACACGGCCCAGACUCCUACGGGAGGCAGCAGUGGGGAAUAUUGGACAAUGGGGGGAACCCUGAUCCAGCCAUGCCGCGUGUGUGAAGAAGGCCUUAUGGUUGUAAAGCACUUUAAGCGAGGAGGAGGCUACUUUAGUUAAUACCUAGAGAUAGUGGACGUUACUCGCAGAAUAAUCACCGGCUAACUCUGUGCCAGCCGCCGCAGUAA
RNAcentral lists this ribosomal RNA (501 nucleotides) under uncultured bacterium. RNAcentral's name for it is "partial 16S ribosomal RNA". It matches the Rfam family "Bacterial small subunit ribosomal RNA", at positions 30 to 523 of the family's 1533-position model. The record is from RNAcentral.